UCCAGGAUAGCCUAGUGGACGUGGCACCUGCCCGGUAAGCAGAAGGUUGUGGGUUCGAUUCCCGCUCCUGGAC
RNAcentral lists this transfer RNA (73 nucleotides) under Cordylochernes scorpioides. Its description in RNAcentral is "tRNA-Thr". It matches the Rfam family "tRNA". Rfam says of the family: Transfer RNA (tRNA) molecules are approximately 80 nucleotides in length. Their secondary structure includes four short double-helical elements and three loops (D, anti-codon, and T loops). The record is from RNAcentral. Lineage: Eukaryota; Metazoa; Arthropoda; Arachnida; Pseudoscorpiones; Chernetidae.